CCCUCGCCCUCCCCAGACCAAGGACUGGUGGACGUACGAGUUCUGCUACGGGAGGCACAUCCAGCAGUACCACCUGGAAGAGUCCGAGAUCAAGGGUGACGUCCUUGUCCUGGGCUAUUACCAGUCCGCCUUUGACUGGGAUGAUGAGACAGCCAAGGCCUCCAAGCAGCACCAGCUGAGGCGCUACCACAGCCAGAGCUACGUGAACGGCUCCCGCUGCGACCUGACCGGGCGCGCCCGCGAGGCCGAGGU
Molecule: long non-coding RNA, 252 nt
Organism: Ficedula albicollis (Collared flycatcher)
Lineage: Eukaryota; Metazoa; Chordata; Aves; Passeriformes; Muscicapidae
Exons: 3
Source: RefSeq, a predicted model, not a curated record